Molecule: ribosomal RNA, 292 nt
Filed under: uncultured bacterium
Lineage: Bacteria
Description: partial 16S ribosomal RNA
Source: RNAcentral
GGACUACUGGGGUAUCUAAUCCCGUUCGCUCCCCACGCUUUCGCGCUACAGCGUCAGUUGCGGGCCAGAAGGCCGCCUUCGCCACUGGUGUUCCUCCCGAUAUCUACGCAUUUCACUACUACACCGGGAAUUCCACCUUCCUCUCCCGCACUCGAGCCGACCAGUAUUGGAGGCAGUUUCGGGGUUGAGCCCCGAAAUUUCACCACCAACUUAGCCGGCCGCCUUAGCGCGCUUUACGCCCAGUAAAUCCGGAUAACGCUCGCCCCCUACGUAUUACCGCGGCUGCUGGCAC